Molecule: ribosomal RNA, 472 nt
Filed under: Streptomyces sp.
Lineage: Bacteria; Bacillati; Actinomycetota; Actinomycetes; Kitasatosporales; Streptomycetaceae
Description: bacterial SSU rRNA
Rfam family: Bacterial small subunit ribosomal RNA
Source: RNAcentral
AUGCAGUCGAACGAUGAACCACUUCGGUGGGGAUUAGUGGCGAACGGGUGAGUAACACGUGGGCAAUCUGCCCUUCACUCUGGGACAAGCCCUGGAAACGGGGUCUAAUACCGGAUAUGACCAUCUUGGGCAUCCUUGAUGGUGUAAAGCUCCGGCGGUGAAGGAUGAGCCCGCGGCCUAUCAGCUUGUUGGUGAGGUAAUGGCUCACCAAGGCGACGACGGGUAGCCGGCCUGAGAGGGCGACCGGCCACACUGGGACUGAGACACGGCCCAGACUCCUACGGGAGGCAGCAGUGGGGAAUAUUGCACAAUGGGCGAAAGCCUGAUGCAGCGACGCCGCGUGAGGGAUGACGGCCUUCGGGUUGUAAACCUCUUUCAGCAGGGAAGAAGCGAAAGUGACGGUACCUGCAGAAGAAGCGCCGGCUAACUACGUGCCAGCAGCCGCGGUAAUACGUAGGGCGCAAGCGUUGUC